AUACGGAGGGUGCAAGCGUUACUCGGAAUCACUGGGCGUAAAGCGCGCGCAGGCGGCUAUUUAAGUUGGAUGUGAAAGCCUACGGCUCAACCGUAGAACUGCAUCCAAAACUAUUUAGCUAGAGUGUGGGAGAGGAAGAUGGAAUUAUUUGUGUAGGGGUAAAAUCCGUAGAGAUAACUAGGAAUACCAAAAGCGAAGGCAAUCUUCUGGAACACUACUGACGCUGAGGCGUGAAAGCGUGGGGAGCAAACAGGAUUAGAAACCCUAGUAGUCC
RNAcentral lists this ribosomal RNA (274 nucleotides) under uncultured bacterium. Its description in RNAcentral is "partial 16S ribosomal RNA". It matches the Rfam family "Bacterial small subunit ribosomal RNA", at positions 523 to 796 of the family's 1533-position model. The record is from RNAcentral.